Molecule: non-coding RNA, 59 nt
Organism: Desulfobacterales bacterium GWB2_56_26
Lineage: Bacteria; Pseudomonadati; Thermodesulfobacteriota; Desulfobacteria; Desulfobacterales
Source: Rfam
CGUCCUGUGUGGCAACAUGCAGGGAGUUUGGACAGGAGUCAGCAGAGGCCAUAUUAGGC